AUCCUUUUGUGGCUCAUAAUCUAAUGAAUGGGUGUUCAUGUCAUAGUGUAAGAUGUACCUACCUCAAUCCUUGUUAUGUCAGCACACUAAUUGUAUGACA
Talpa occidentalis (Iberian mole) is the source of this 100-nucleotide small nucleolar RNA. RefSeq annotates it as small nucleolar RNA U13. The record is from RefSeq and is a predicted model, not a curated record. Lineage: Eukaryota; Metazoa; Chordata; Mammalia; Eulipotyphla; Talpidae. The transcript has a single exon.